GAUGAAGAACGCAGCGAAAUGCGAUAAGUAAUGUGAAUUGCAGAAUUCAGUGAAUCAUCGAAUCUUUGAACGCACAUUGCGCCCGCCAGUAUUCUGGCGGGCAUGCCUGUUCGAGCGUCAUUACAACCCUCAGGCCCCCGGGCCUGGCGUUGGGGAUCGGCGGAGCCCCCCGUGGGCACACGCCGUCCCCCAAAUGCAGUGGCGGUCCCGCCGCAGCUUCCAUCGCGUAGUAGCUAACACCUCGCGACUGGAGAGCGGCGCGGCCACGCCGUAAAACACCCAACUCUUCUGAAGUUGACCUCGAAUCAGGUAGGAAUACCCGCUGAACUUAAGCAUAUCAAAAAGCGGAGGA
RNAcentral lists this unclassified non-coding RNA (352 nucleotides) under soil metagenome. RNAcentral's name for it is "partial contains 5.8S ribosomal RNA, internal transcribed spacer 2, and large subunit ribosomal RNA". The stretch from base 1 to 120 matches the Rfam family "5.8S ribosomal RNA", at positions 35 to 154 of the family's 154-position model. The record is from RNAcentral.